UGAACUACGUGCAGCCGAGGUGUUGGAUAAUCAAUACUAACGUGUGUCGUCAGUCUGGACCAAAAAGUGAUAUUGAAAGAGCAUAUAUCCUCGAUCGACAACAUGAAAACUACGGCACAUAACUGCAUGCCCGGUAACGCCAAUUUAUUCGGUGAAGAUUCAAUCGAAGAAAUCGCUGAGUCAGUGGAUGAGCUAAGAGAGAAACUCGCGAAUAUGAAAAAACUUAUGGAACAGCGGAAAGGCACGACACUGGGCGAAAUUAGCGCCCGCAAGAGGAAGGAGACUUCCGACAUAAUAGAUGGCAAUUUUUUGUCCUGGAUUUUUGGAUCUGCCCUUAUAGUGAUCCUAAGUGUGAGCUUCUAUGCUUUCUACAAUCUUUUCCUCGCAGUAUUGAGGAAGUUUCCAUCUCAUCAUACAGAAUUGUAAAAAAGGUGAACAAAUAUCGUGUAACUUAAUGUACAAAUGUUGAAGAAGAUCGGGAGAACUUUCAAUGUAAAUGGUAAACUCAUUUGUAUGCAAUUGCCAAUACAACCAAUAAAUCUUCAAAGUGGCAAAAAAAGA
Molecule: unclassified non-coding RNA, 561 nt
Filed under: Harpegnathos saltator (Jerdon's jumping ant)
Lineage: Eukaryota; Metazoa; Arthropoda; Insecta; Hymenoptera; Formicidae
Description: uncharacterized LOC105182664, transcript variant X4
Source: RNAcentral